UCAGCAUUUCACUGUAAGGUCUACCUACACCUGUUGUAUUCAGCAUUUCACUAAGGUCUACUACACCUGUUGUAUUCAAGUCUACUACACCUGUUGUAGUCAGCAUUUCACUGUAAGGUCUACUACACCUGUUGUAUUCAGCAUUUCACUGUAAGGUCUACUUCACCUGUUGUAUUCAGCAUUUCACUGUAAGGUCUACUACACCUGUUGUAUUCAGCAUUUCACUGUGAGGUCUACUACACCUGUUGUAUUCAGCAUUUCACUGUGAGGUCUACUACACCUGUUGUAUUCAGCAUUUCACUGGAAAGGUCUACUACACCUGUUGUAUUCAGCAUUUCACUGUGAGGUCUACUACACCUGUUGUAGUCAGCAUUUCACUGUCAGGUCUACUACACCUGUUGUAUUCAGCAUUUCACUGUAAGGUCUACUACACCUGUUGUAUUCAGCAUUUCACAGUAAGGUCUACUACACCUGUUGUAUUCAGCAUUUCACUGUAAGGUCUACUACACCUGUUGUAUUCAGCAUUUAACAGUAAGGUCUACUACACCUGUUGUAUUCAGCAUUUCACAGUAAGGUCUACUACACCUGUUGUAUUCAGCAUUUCACAGUAAGGUCUACUACACCUGUUGUAUUCAGCAUUUCACUGUAAGGUCUAGUACACCUGUUGUAUUCAGCAUUUCACUGUAAGGUCUAGUACACCUGUUGUAUUCAGCAUUUC
Long non-coding RNA from Oncorhynchus tshawytscha (Chinook salmon), 718 nucleotides. NCBI's taxonomy places the organism in Eukaryota, Metazoa, Chordata, Actinopteri, Salmoniformes, Salmonidae. The record is from Ensembl.